GAUGAAGAACGUAGCGAAAUGCGAUAAGUAAUGCGAAUUGCAGAAUUCAGUGAAUCAUCGAAUCUUUGAACGCACCUUGCGCCCCUUGGUUAUUCCAAAGGGCAUGCCUGUUUGAGUAUCAUGAACACCUCAACUCUUGUGGUUUCCCACAAUGAGCUUGGACUGUGGAGGUUUUGUUGGCCCUGUGGUCAGCUCCUCUCAAAUGGAUCAGCUUACCGGUGUUUGGUGGCAUUACGGGUGUGAUAACUAUCUACGCUCGUGGUCGUCUCCAAAUAACCUCCAGUGAUGGAGGUUCGCUGGAGCUUAUAAAUGUCUCUCCCCAGUGAAGACAGCCUUUGAACGUUCGAUCUCAAAUCAGGUAGGACUACCCGCUGAACUUAAGCAUAUCAAUAAGCGGAGGA
This 401-nucleotide unclassified non-coding RNA is filed under the name soil metagenome. Its description in RNAcentral is "partial contains 5.8S ribosomal RNA, internal transcribed spacer 2, and large subunit ribosomal RNA". The stretch from base 1 to 121 matches the Rfam family "5.8S ribosomal RNA", at positions 35 to 154 of the family's 154-position model. The record is from RNAcentral.